Molecule: non-coding RNA, 70 nt
Organism: Podarcis lilfordi (Lilford's wall lizard)
Lineage: Eukaryota; Metazoa; Chordata; Lepidosauria; Squamata; Lacertidae
Source: the annotation of a GenBank genome assembly
GAGUUAGCUCAGCUGGUUAGAGUGUGGUGCUAAUAAGGCCAAGAUAAGGGUUCAGUCCCCUUAUGGGCCA